Long non-coding RNA from Chrysolophus pictus (golden pheasant), 1559 nucleotides. The record is from Ensembl. Lineage: Eukaryota; Metazoa; Chordata; Aves; Galliformes; Phasianidae.
UAUGACUUACUGUAUGUUACGUUAUUUGACAGUCUUUUUGCAGCUGUGUGGCUGACAUGAAUUUACAACUCAACUUGCUUAAAAGUGGACAGGCUGUGAAGAUGUACCUGAAGUGUGAAGCAGCUGUGUGCCAACACCAGCAGGGAAAAAGACAGAGUCACUUGAUGAAUAUUUUAAAAUCACUUGCUUUUCAGUGUGAUGAUAAGCCUAAAGUAGGGUAGAGUCUCUGUUUUCACCCUAUGGUUAUUUAGUGCUUGAUUGCUUGUUUUUGAAACAGCAUGCAAGUUGGAUGAAGAAAAAUAUUAGGGUUGCCAAUGGUCAGGAUCUGUUAUCUUUUGUCACUACUACUAGAUCUAGAUAAUUUGGGCUGAUUAUUAUACUUGGAUUGCUUUGAAGUUGUAUGUGUAAAACUUUCCUGUUCUGUUCUCAAAAAAAAAAAAAAUUAAAUUCAUCAUCAGAAACAAUUGGUCCAGAGACACCUUUGCUAAUAUGCAGAGCCUUUUCAAGCAAGCAGAUAGAUCUGAUACUUGAAGAAAAAUGCAAUGGUUAUGCUUUUUGGUCCAUAGCUUCCUGGUGAGGACUCUCACUUCUUGGAAAUGGCUUCUAUGUUGUCGCAUUGUUUGAGUCAAGGAGGACACAUUCAGAUGGGUGCCCUGGCGGAGCUGCUAAGUGACUACAGUGAUGUGACUUCAUGCUGUUCCAAGAUGAAAGGCUGUCAUCCAACUUCUACAACAAGAAAUCCAAACAGCCGAGAAGGCAAAAAACACCCUCUAUGAGAAUGCCAACUUCCAGGGAUCCUCCAAAGAAUUCACCAGUGAUGUUGCCAAUCUGAAAGGUGUGCACUGGAAUGACUGUUUCCUCAGUAAAAGUAAUAGAACACCUUUGGGUGGCUUAUGAGGACCUCAGCUAUGCAGGCCAGGUAUUGGUAUUUGAGGAAGGGCAACAUAGAUUUGUUGGUGAGCCAUUAAAUGGCAAGAUCACUUUCCUGCAGAUGAUUUCUUGAAAGCCUGCAGGAUCUGCAGAUUAGUCAACGAACAUGCUCAGUAUUGAGGGAAGAGCAGUGUGAUAACAGAAAAAACCAGUCUGGGUUGGAAACAUGCUACUGACAUUUUCACUAAGUCUAGAGAGGUGCAUGGCCAUUGUGUGAACACAAAGAUGUGAUUUUUGCUAGAUUGCAUGAGAAUGUGAACACCUUCCAAAUUACAACACAACUUCAAUGACAAGCUUCCAUCUGUACAUCUACUUCUGCAACAGACAUAUUAAAUAAUUCGUGUGCCAAGUAGUGACAACCACCGAAAGUAAGCAAGGAAUCCCAAGAAGCCUAUCUUCACCACUUCCGUGGACGUCACUGGAUACAAAAGACACCUUUCAUGUGUCCUCAUAGGGAUGAGGACAAGAAGGAGGACACUAAAGAAGCUUUGUGUUUCACAAGCUGCAGAUCUGCUUUGAGGACAACCAGAGUUGUCCUUUGGAACAAGCUCAGAGUUUCUUCAGGAUUGUGACUGUGUUUCUAUACUUUACCUCCAAAGGAGCACACUGAGAACUACAUAUGUUUCAAU